AAUAGAUACCCCGGUAGUCCACGCCGUAAACGAUGAGUGCUAAGUGUUAGGGGGUUUCCGCCCCUUAGUGCUGCAGCUAACGCAUUAAGCGCUCCGCCUGGGGAGUACGGCCGCAAGGCUGAAACUCAAAGGAAUUGACGGGGGCCCGCACAAGCGGUGGAGCAUGUGGUUUAAUUCGAAGCAACGCGAAGAACCUUACCAGGUCUUGACAUCCUCUGACAACUCUAGAGAUAGAGCGUUCCCCCUUCGGGGGACAGAGUGACAGGUGGUGCAUGGUUGUCGUCAGCUCGUGUCGUGAGAUGUUGGGUUAAGUCCCGCAACGAGCGCAACCCUUGAUCUUAGUUGCCAGCAUUCAGUUGGGCACUCUAAGGUGACUGCCGGUGACAAACCGGAGGAAGGUGGGGAUGACGUCAAAUCAUCAUGCCCCUUAUGACCUGGGCUACACACGUGCUACAAUGGACGGUCAAAGGGUCGCAAGACCGCGAGGUGGAGCUAAUCUCAUAAAAACCCGUUCUCAGUUCGGA
This 524-nucleotide ribosomal RNA is filed under the name uncultured bacterium. RNAcentral's name for it is "bacterial SSU rRNA". It matches the Rfam family "Bacterial small subunit ribosomal RNA", at positions 777 to 1297 of the family's 1533-position model. The record is from RNAcentral.